ACGCUGGCGGCGUGCUUAACACAUGCAAGUCGAACGAGAAAGCACCUUCGGGUGUGAGUACAGUGGCGAACGGGUGAGUAACACGUGGGCAACCUGCCCCGGAGACUGGGAUAACGUCCCGAAAGGGACGCUAAUACCGGAUGACGCGCGAUCUGCCAAGUAGGUCGCGCCAACUGGUAGCUUCGGCUUCUGCUCUGGGAUGGGCCCGCGCCGGAUUAGCUUGUUGGUGGGGUAAUGGCUCACCAAGGCGACGAUCCGUAGCUGGUCUGGGAGGACGAUCAGCCACACUGGGACUGAGACACGGCCCAGACUCCUACGGGAGGCAGCAGUGGGGAAUCUUGCGCAAUGGGCGAAAGCCUGACGCAGCAACGCCGCGUGAGCGAAGACGGCCUUCGGGUUGUAAAGCUCUGUCAGGAGGGACGAAGCCACUCAGGUGAAUAGCCGAGAGGGUGACGGUACCUCCAGAGGAAGCCCCGGCUAACUACGUG
Molecule: ribosomal RNA, 488 nt
Filed under: uncultured bacterium
Lineage: Bacteria
Description: bacterial SSU rRNA
Rfam family: Bacterial small subunit ribosomal RNA
Source: RNAcentral